Molecule: long non-coding RNA, 2284 nt
Filed under: Helianthus annuus (common sunflower)
Lineage: Eukaryota; Viridiplantae; Streptophyta; Magnoliopsida; Asterales; Asteraceae
Description: hypothetical non coding rna
Source: RNAcentral
UUCAAUUAAUUAAAUUCUCUCCUCUCUCUUCAAAAUACACAUAACACCUUCUCUCCUAUCUCUUCAAAAUUACCAGAGCUUCAACACCAAAAUUCAUAGAGCUUCAAUAUUCAUCUCUCUCUCAUCUCUUCAAAAACCAGAGAUGAACUCGCCGUAGAAAAUCUAACCGCCGGAGAAAACCAUAACCGCCGCCCUCCUUAAAAACCAAACCGCCGCCCUCCUUAAAAACCUAACCGCCGGAGAAAACCAUCACCACCGCCCCCAUUCGCCGCCCCCUUUCUUAUCCGAUCUCGUUUCCCCGUGGAAGAUGAUAGCCACAACUUGACCAACAGGAUAAGCAUUUGGGUGAAGGGAUCAAGUCAUUUUGUUCAACUAGAUCUGAGACCCGACCCGUUUUGUGCGGUGGUUGAUGUCAUGAUGAGCUCCGUUUUUUGUGAAUUACUAGAUUCUGGUGGUUGAUAUCAUGUUUUUGAUUUUUUUAAUCUUGUUUUGAGUUAUGGAUCUUGUGUAUUUUGAUGUUCCAUCUGGUUUUUGUUUUGAUCUGUUAGAAUGGGCAAACCAGGUGGUGGGUGGUGGGCAGAGGCGGUGCCGGUAGUACAACCGGUGGUGGGUGGUGGGUAGAGGUGGUGCUGGAUUUGGGUUUUCGACGGUUUUUCGGAGGCGAUGGUGGCGGUGAAAGGUGGAGAAAUCAUAGGAAGACGGUUUUCGACGGUUCGACAGCUAGGUGGUGGGCCGGCGGCAGCGCCGCCGUGAGCGACGGAGGCCCUGGUCUCCUCCCGACGAGUUGAUGAUUUCUCUGUUGAUUUUUCUGGUGAUUUCUUGGCCUGUGUUCUCCACAUGUGUUCUUGAAUGAUGAUGAUGAUACCGAUGGUAUUUUGGUAUGUUUGGUAUUUUUGAUCUUGUUUUGAUCUGUUGGGGAUUUUGAUCUUAAUAUUUGUUAUGAUUUGGUAUGUGGGUUUUUUGGGGGUGGCGAUGAUGCAAAAAAAAAAAAAAACUAGAUUUUUGAUGACGAUGGCUCGGCAACGAUGGUGGAGGGUAGAUCUUUGAACCCGCAACCCCACUUUGCAGCGUUUUAAUUAUCGGAAAAAAUCUGAGCCAAACCCUUUUUUUUCGAGAUACACUUUUGUUUUUUUGUUGUUGUUGGUUUUUCAUAUUCUUUCCCCCGUCGAUGACGAUAAAAAUCUAUCCGAGACACCUACCGACUUUGCGAUUUAUGGGUGCGUUCGUCUUUGCGUAAACAAGUUUUCGUGUAAAAAAGUUUUUGUGAAAAAAAAGUUCAACCGCAAACUUUUACGUAAAACGUAAAAAGUUUAACGUAAAACUUAAAAAAAGUAAAACGUCAAAAAGUUUAACGUAAAACUUAAAACUUAAAAAGUUUUACAUAAAACGUAAAAUUUAAAAACAUAAAAAGUUUAACGUAAAACGUAAAAUGUUUUACAUAAAACGUAAAACCGAAAAAAACGUUAACGUAAAAAACCCGGGGCGUAAAACAUAAAAAACCAACACGUAAAACUUAAAAAACCGACGCGUAAAACGUAAAAAACCGACGCGUAAAACGUAAAAAACCGGGGCGUAAAACGUAAAAAACCGACGUGUAAAACGUAAAAUAACAUUAACGUAAAAAUUGGUGCGUAAAAUGUAAAAAAAAACGUUAACGUAAAAAACCCGGGGCGUAAAACGUAAAAAACCGACACGUAAAACGUAAAAAACCGACGCGUAAAACGUAAAAAACCGACGCGUAAAACGUAAAAAACCGGGGCGUAAAACGUAAAAAACCGACACGUAAAACGUAAAAAACCUACGCGUAAAACGUAAAAACCGGGACGUAAAACGUAAAAAACCGACACGUAAAACGUAAAAAACCGACACGUAAAACGUAAAAAACCGAGGCGUAAAACGUAAAAAACCUGGGCGUAAAACGUAAAAAAACCGACGUGUAAAACGUAAAAUAACGUUAACGUAAAAAUUGGCGCGUAAAAUGUAAAAAAAAACGUUAACGUAAAAAACGGCGCGUAAAACGGGCCGUAUGAACGGCGCGUAAAAACGGGACAUGAAAACGGGACGCUAAAACGGCGUGUUAAAAAACGGCGUUAAAAACGGCGCGUAAAAAACGGCGUUAAAAAACGGCGCGUUAAAAAAAACGGCGUAAAAAAAACGGCGGUAAAAAACGGCGCGUAAAAACGACGGUUGAAAAAACCCGGCGUGCAAAAACCGGCCCGCAAAAAAAAUUGUAUUUUGUUAAAAAAUUUGAAUUUAAAUUGUUUUUACUAAAAAAAUCUUUUAA